RNAcentral lists this ribosomal RNA (253 nucleotides) under uncultured bacterium. Its description in RNAcentral is "partial 16S ribosomal RNA". It matches the Rfam family "Bacterial small subunit ribosomal RNA", at positions 524 to 776 of the family's 1533-position model. The record is from RNAcentral.
UACGGAGGGAGCUAGCGUUGUUCGGAUAUACUGGGCGUAAAGCGCACGUAGGCGGCGCAGCAAGUCAGGGGUGAAAUCCCGGAGCUCAACUCCGGAACUGCCCUUGAAACUGCAGUGCUAGAAUCCUGGAGAGGCGAGUGGAAUUCCGAGUGUAGAGGUGAAAUUCGUAGAUAUUCGGAAGAACACCAGUGGCGAAGGCGACUCGCUGGACAGGUAUUGACGCUGAGGCGCGAAAGCUAGGGGAGCAAACGGG